RNAcentral lists this ribosomal RNA (1224 nucleotides) under Triticum aestivum (bread wheat). RNAcentral's name for it is "partial small subunit ribosomal RNA". The record is from RNAcentral. Lineage: Eukaryota; Viridiplantae; Streptophyta; Magnoliopsida; Poales; Poaceae.
AUGAUUCCGGACCAGCGCUCCGAUCAGCUGGUGGAAGCGCCGAGCCGGCCAAUGUCGCGCUGCCACCUUUUCUGGGCCGUGAUAUUGCCGAUGGUGCUCCUCGUAGGUGUCAUUACCUUCUGUGCCUACCAAUACCACGAGCUGCCUUAUUACUAUGCCGCGAUCGACUCCGUCUCCGGCCUCAACCUCACCACCGACCUCGCACGCCGCCCCGCGCUGCUCUACCCGGAGUUCAACCUCACCGUCCGUGUCGCCCCGCACACGCUAUGGUUCAAGAAGUGCCUCGACCGUGGCGCAUAUGUGGGGGUGGCCUACCGCGGCGUCUGGUUCGCCACCAGCGUGCCCACGACGGACAAGAUCUGUGUCGGGCCUGGGAAGGUGGUGGAUCGGCCCUUUGUCGCGAGGGGCCGCGACGUGGUCAUGCCGGUGUCCGUGCAGGAUAGCCUUGUGGGGGAGUUGCGCGGUCCAUUGCCGGAUUUCAACGUCGUGUUCCUUGGCCUAUGGCGGUGCUGCGCGUUGUCUUGCGGGACUCGACGGCCCAGCAUGUAUGUGGAGGUCUCAUAUCGUGGUGUCUCGCUGGCAUCCAGCGGAACCAUGACUGAGAGGAUCUGCGCCAGGCCGAGGAACGUGACUGACCAUGCCGGCAUAGCAAGGGGCCCCGGGGUGGUUGUGCCAGGAGAACACUAUGAACCUACGAUGGCUAAUGUCUUGCUUGGUGUAGCGUGCGCUAUCUUCCAAUAUGUUGAGUUGCCUGAUUAUUAUGCUGCGAUCAACUCAGUCUCCGGCCUUGACCCAACCACCGAUCUCGCACGUCGCCCCGCGCUGCUCUAUCCGGAGUUCAACCUCACCUUCCGUGUCGCCUCCCACACACCAUGGUUCACCAAGUGCGUCGAGCCUGGCGCGUACAUGGGGGUGGCUUAUGGCGGCGUCUGGUUCGCCACCACCGUGCCCACGACGGAGCGGAUCUGCGUCGGGCCAGGGAAGACGGUGGAUCGGCCCUUUGUGGCGAGGGGCCGCGAGGUGGUCAUGCCGGUGUCCGUGCAGGAUAGCCUCGUGGGGAAGUUGCGUGGCGGAUUGCCGGAUUUUGAUGUCGUGCUCCUUGGCCUAGGGCAGUGCUGGGCGUUGUCUUGCGGACGGAGGAGGGUCGGUGAUACCGACGUCUUGCAAGCAAGGUGCUCCAAUUAUAUCAGGACGGGCAGCAGAAGAUAUGCAAAGUGUCGUUGA